AGUCCAGAGGAAGUGGGGAGAGGAAAGAAAAAUGUUUUGAAGAAUAGUGGCCAAAAAUGUCCAAAUCUGGUAUUGACUCUUAGCUCAUGGAUCCAUGAGCACAACAACCCCAAGCAGGAUAAACACAGUGAAAAUAACACUGCAGCACAUUAUAAUUAAAUUGCUGAAAAGCAGGUAGAGAACAGAGUCCUGUUACUUAGAAAAGAUAUCUUGAUUGUAGAUUUCCCAGCCUCCAAAACUGUGAAAAUUAAAUGUGUUUAACAUACCCGGUCUAUGAUAUUUGUUGUAACAGCCUGAGCUAAGACAUAACACCAUGGAGAUAGAGUCAUGGAACUCUUAUCUCAGCCAUGUAUCAACAACCUCCAAACUUCUUUUACUUGACAGAGAAAUAAACUUUUGUCAUCUUAAGGUACUUUUUCUUAGUCACUGUUAUAGUUAAAACAUGUGCUUUAUAUAAUUAUCUAUAACUUCUAGGAUCUCGUGUAGACUGAUAAGUCAAAUAUAUACCUGUAUCGGCGUCUCUAACAAAGUUCCUUAUUUAUUUCAGUUCAGUGACUCCUCAUUGAGUAACUGCCAGGAUGCAGGCAGAGUCCUAGGUCCUAUGGGAAACAUAAAAAUGAAUAAGACUUCAUUAUGGUGCAAUUAAAAAUACACACUUCUUCCUGGCCCACUGGCACAUGAGCAGCUGAAACAAAGAAUUGUUAUGAUAUAUGGGGAGAGUGUUAGUGGAAAGAAGUAGCAAUUGAGAGAAACUUGGAUAACAUUUUUAGAAAAGGAAAUAUUUGAACUAAGUCUUGAAGCAAUAUUAGAGUUUUGACAGAUAUUUUGCAGGAGGGGAGAAAAAAACAUUUCCAGGCAGAGCAAGCAGAUUUAGCGGUCACUCACUCCAAGUGAGAGAUUGGAGAUGUGCUACAUAACCAAGCACCAAUGAGUAAAAAUUAAUCUAAAAAUGUGGGGUUACAUUAUGGAAGACCUUAAAUACUGGCUGCAGAGUCUUGCUUUUAUUCUUCAUGCAGUAAGGAGACAUCAUCUUUAUAAUUCACUUACCAUUUUUAUUUGGAUUUUUUUUUAGAUUUUUUCUAUUUGAGAGGUAGAAAGAGGGAAUGCAAGUUGGGGGGGUGGUGAGGAAGGGCAAAGGGAGAGGGAGAGAAAGAAUCUCAAGUAGACUCCCUGCUAAGGGUGAAGCCAGAUGUGGGGCUCCAUCCCAGGACCCUGAGAUCAUGACCUGAACAGAAAUGAAGAGUCAGUUGCUUAACCAACUGGGCUACUCAGAUGCCCCUUUAUUUGGAUUUUCAGUGUAAUCUUUUCUCAUUGGCUUCUUUCCUCAUUGAAUCGUGUAUUUUGGUAGCUUGUUAUAGAAGCACCCCAUCAAAAAUGCUAAGUUAAUUUACUAUUGUCAUUAAAAUUCCUUAAAUUUCAAUGAAACUAUGGGAUGCCUGGGUGGCCUAGAGGUUGAGCGACUGCUUUCAGCUCAGGGCGUGAUGGAGUCCCACAUCAGGCUCCUUGCAGGGAGCCUGCUUCUCCUAUUUCUCUGCCUCUCUCUUGGUGUCUCUCAUAAAUAAAUAUUUUUUAAAAAAUUUCAAUGAAACUAUAACACUUGCUCACAUCACGGUGCAACGCCAGUGACUGCUCCUGGUGGCUUUGGCAGCAGAGAGGGUCUGCCACACACAGUGACAGAGGCACCAGGCUAACAUGGGCUCUCUCAUCUUCUAAAUAGUUUCCAGGGUCGGCGGUUGACAUUUUCAACAUUGACAUCACAAUGGUAUAGAAGAGAAAGGUUAAAGAGGAACACUUGGUUCUUAAUCAUUUGGGCUCACAAGUGACACACUCAUCUCCAUUCCAAUUCCAUGAAUGAGAACUAAUUGCAAGGCUCCACUCAGAUAA
This 1884-nucleotide long non-coding RNA is filed under the name Canis lupus familiaris (dog). Its description in RNAcentral is "lncRNA (ENSCAFG00000053780.1)". Lineage: Eukaryota; Metazoa; Chordata; Mammalia; Carnivora; Canidae. The record is from RNAcentral.